GGAUGUGAGGGCGAUCUGCGACAUCUGUCACCCCAUUGAUUGCCAGGGUUGAUUCUGAUUUGGCUGAUCUGGCUGGCCAGGUAGGUGUCGCCUUCCUCCCUCACUGCUCCAUGUGCAUCCCUCCCAAAGCUUCAUGCUCAGUGGAGGAAGAUGACCUUCCCUGAUAGAGGAGUACCAUUCUUCUUUGGUCAAGGGUAUAUGAGUAGCUGCGCUCCCCUGCUGGAACCUCCAAACAAGCUUUCAAAAUGCAGCAUGUAACUAUUUUUAAAANNNNNNNNN
Molecule: small nuclear RNA, 279 nt
Filed under: Propithecus coquereli (Coquerel's sifaka)
Lineage: Eukaryota; Metazoa; Chordata; Mammalia; Primates; Indriidae
Description: 7SK RNA (ENSPCOG00000001578.1)
Rfam family: 7SK RNA
About the family: 7SK was discovered as an abundant small nuclear RNA in the mid-70s but a possible function has only recently been suggested. Two independent studies have found that 7SK RNA binds the CDK9/cyclin T complex (known as elongation factor P-TEFb). P-TEFb activates transcription by phosphorylating the C-terminal domain of RNA polymerase II.
Source: RNAcentral